AAAUAUUUUCGAUUACUGUAUGUCACUAUAUAUGUCUGAUUGUAUAUAUCUCUAAGCAAUAUUACAUAAUGAGGUAGUAUAUAUGUAAACAAAUCACAUAAUAUAUAUGUAUUAUGGAGUAGUAUAAAUGUAAUUGUUGAGCAAGAAAUUUCAACCAAUGAAAUUACACCACGUCGUCGCACCCAAGUUGUGAUGAUUAUAAUUUGAUUGGAUUUGGGUAGUCAAGUUUUCCAACCCAAUUCAAGCCCCUGAUAAAAAAUCAGGCCAAACAAAGGGGCCUAAGCCCACUAAGAAAAUGGGCCCAAGCCCAAGUCCAAGCUCAACAACUCAACAAGAAAAUGGGUCCAAAGCCCACAUAAAGUCCACAAAUUUUCUCUAUAAGUAGACCUUUGUCAUUCAUUCGAGAGAUCUUUUGUUGAAGGAAGAAAUGAAGCUCUGAAGUACUGAAGCUUUGAAGAAUUGAAGAUUCAAACUUCUAUAGAGCUCUCAAGACGUGCAAGUUUUUAUCAACUUCGAGAUCAUCGUCUUCUGAAAUAUUGAAGACUUGGAAGAUCAAAAUUUCCUUGAAUUCCAGAAGACUGAAGCUGAAAUAGACCGAACCAUUUAAAUUCGGUUUGGACUAUUUGAGACAGCAACAAACUGUGUUUUUUGUUUUGUACAUAAAUGGUGUGGUUUGAUUCGGUUUUAACAAGCGGUUCAAUUUAUACCGUUUAGACUUGAUCUUAUAUAAUGUGAAAUUAUUUUUUUUUCUUUGAAUUUUUAUCUAAGUGUACUCAAAUUGUAUACCAUGUUACAAAAUUAAUUGCAAUAAAUUUUUUAAAAUUUUCAAAAAUAUCAUAAAUUGACUAAUAUUUUAUACAAAUAUAGAGUAAAAAUGACCAAUUUACUCUUUUUAUUAUUAAUAAUAUAUUAAAAAUAAAAAGAAAAGUGAACCACGUUUAAGAUUUUCAUUUAUUAAAUAUUCUAUGAAAAUAUGGAUUAAAUUCUAUUAAAGUAAUAUUAUGUAAUGCCCAAAGAAAAGGUAAAUAUAUAUAUAUAUAUAUAUAUAUAUAUAUAUAUAUAUAUAUAUAUAUUACUUUUAUUUUAAUAUUAAAAAAUUUCUUUAUUUUUUUUCUCUUCUUUUCUUCUUUUUCUUUUUCUUUUCUUUUCUCCCAUCUUCUUCCCCGUGCGACCGCGACCCGUAUCCAUCUUCUCCACUCCGUUCUCCAUCUCCGUUCGCGAAGCAGCCUUGCAGCAGCCGCCGCGUAACUGUCUGAUCCAGAUCUGCGUCGCAGCCCAGAAACCGCCGCCCUUAUUUUCUUUCCGGUCGUUUUCUUUCUCCUUCGGAUCGAAACCGCCACGCCCAUCCACCUGUAACUGUCGUUGCUCUUCCGCCUCUGCCCAGUUUUGCCGCGCAACACCUGUCUCCGUCUAAGCCAAUCCAGCCGCCGUCUCUAUCUCCGUUCGCGAGGCAAAUCGCACGCCUCAGUCACAAACAGCCUCGCCGACGCAGGUCACGCCGCAUCGCACGAGUUCGGCUACGUUACCGGGCUACUCCCGUCUGCGCGUAACUGCUGUUGAACGUCCGAACCAUUCUGCCUUCGUCGAUACCCGCUGUCCAUUUACGAAUUGUGGACCGAUUCGCGUGCAGAUUUGUUUGCACGAUUUCUUUUGUGUAGAUCCUGCUGCGGCAACUUCUAUUUUAACGUCGAUUGUCAAAGUCUUGUUAUAAGUUAUUGGUAAGGAUGAGAUUGUUGGGUAAUAAGGUUUUACAUUUGUAAAUACAUUAAGAUGUGAUGUUUGUUUAAUUGGUUGAAUUGAUGUUUGUUCUUGAAGGCGACAUCGGUUAUUUGGAGUUAGUGUCCUUGAGUUACGCCUUAAGCUUUGUUGGAAUUCGAUUCUUUACUCUUUGGGGUUUGUUUGUUGGAAUUAGUUCGACCAAGAAAUUUUACAUAAAAUCGAGGUAAGGGAUUUUCUACUGGACUCAAUUGUGAUUGUGAACUGUGAUUGUGAACUGUAUGUGUGUUGAAUGUAUACUGUGGGUUGACUGAAAAUAUAUAUGAAUUGAAGUAGACUUGACGUUGAAUGUAUGUCGUGAUUGUCAUGGAAUCUAUGUAUAAAUGUGGGUAUGUGGACAGGACGGAGAUUGUAGAUUGUGUUUGUAUGAGAUUCUCGUUUAGAUUGGGUGUAUGAUUACGCUAAAGUAUGACUGUGUGCUGGUGAACUAAGGGGUGCAUUGACUGUAUAGUGGAUUGACUGAUGUAUUAGCAUAUUAUUGACAGACAUAUGACUGUAGUAAAAUAAGUUGACUGUUAGGAUGUUGAAAGAAAGAACUUUGUGACUUGAAGUAACUGAAAGAUGGGUUGAAUAGAAUGAGGGGAAAAUUGUUAGAUUGUAUUGGGAUGUUUACCUGGUAGGUGUCCCACGGGAUCACCAAUUUAUUGUGCACCUUCGGGAGCAUUUGACUGAUAUGUGUUUCUACAGAACACUAGACUGAUAUGUACGUCCCUCGGGGCGUUAGACUGAGAUGUGUAUCCUACGGGAUCACAAGACUGCGACUGUACAGGGUGUCCCAAUAGAACUUUAACAAUUUAUUUUCCCCUGACGAGACCAGUAGAGGGUCUCUUACUGAGUAUUUAAAUACUCACCCUUCUUAUGUUUAAUUUUCAGGCAAAGGUAAUAAAGGCGGCAAACAGGCGAGGGGUAGGAAGGAAGCGUGAUGCCAUAGGAAACGUGUUUUUGCUUCCACUUAUGGGUUCUUGUGAGGUUUAAAAUGAAUUGAAAUUUAGUUUACAAACGUUUGUUGUAAAUAGUAUUAUUUUAUGUUUUCUUGAAUGUUUAAAAAUCAGGCCUGACUUGAAGAUGUUUUUUUUAAAUUGCUUACGUUUUGUUUUAUAUUAAUCAAAGUCUUUUAUUUGUAAAAAACUAAUAACGACCUCGACUUACUUAGAAAAGUUGGGUCGUUACAGUUGGUAUCAGAGCCUAAGUUUUAGGUUCUGUAGACUGACUUAUGAUGUAAGUCUAUGUUUUUGUUUUCCUAUGGCUAACACGACCCUUCGUAUCUCGUCAUGUAUGCUUGAUGCUUAUAUGUAUGGUUUAUUUGCAUGACCUUGCCUAAAUUAAACUAGAUUGCAUGACGAUAAAGACUUGCUUAUGCGUAUGAUUAAGAUUUUGUUAAAGAGUGUUGUUGGUGGAUAAUAGGAAUUAUGCCGCCAAGGGAAGGUGUACGUAGAGGAGGUCGUAGAGGCCGAGGUAGAGGAGUAGGAGGCCGAGGUAGAGGAGCAGGUCGUAAUCAGCCUACUGAGGGUCAAGCUGAACAGCGAAUUCCUGCUGCACCCGUGACUCACGUUGAGUUUGAUGCACUGUCUGCUCACAUGGAGCAGAGGUUUACAGAACUUAUGACAGCUAUAGCUCAAAACCAGCAGGCACCUGCGGUUCCACCUGCACCUGUAGUUCCCCCUGCACCAGCAGCCCCUCCUGCACAAGAAUUACCGAACCAACUUUCUGCUGAGGCGAAACAUUUGAGGGACUUUCGGAAGUAUGACCCUCAGACGUUUGAUGGGUCACUGGAGGAUCCUACUAAAGCUGAAAUGUGGUUGUCCUCUGUGGAAACCAUAUUUAAUUACAUGAGAUGUCGCGAGGAGCACAGAGUUCAGUGUGCUGCUUUUCUACUAAGGGACAGAGGCAUUAUCUGGUGGAGGACUACAAUGCGCAUGCUAGGUGGAGAUGUGAGGCAAAUUACCUAGGAUCAGUUUAAGGACUGCUUCUAUACCAAGUUUUUCUCGGCUAACCUUAGAGAUGCCAAAAGCCAGGAAUUCUUGGAGUUAAAGCAAGGAUAUAUGACAGUCGAGGAGUACGACCAGGAGUUUGAUAUGCUGUCACGUUUUGCCCCUGAGCUUGUUAGUAAUGAGCAGGCUAGAGCUGAUAGGUUCGUCAAGGGAUUGAGAUAUGAAAUUAGGGGCUUUGUGCGAGCACUAAAGCCCACUACCCAAGCUGAAGCACUGCGUCGGGCAGUGGAUAUGAGCGUUGGGAAGGAUGAAAUACAGCCAAGGAGCUUUGAUAAGGGAUCGUCGUCGGGUCAAAAGAGAAAAGUAGAGCAGAGAACUGUAGGAGUUCCUCAGAGGAACUUGAGACCAGGCGAUUCCUUUUCGCAGUUUCCAGCAGAGUUCUGGCGGUGCAGGAGACACUACUCGAGAGAGGCCAGUAUGUAAUACGUGUGGGAAACGCCACCUGGGUCGUUGUUUGAUGGGAACGAGAGUCUGUUAUAAGUGCAAGCAAGAGGGACACAUGGCUGAUAGGUGUCCCUUGAGAUCUACUGGGGCUGGAUCGAGCAGUCAGGGAGAGAGACCUCCACAGCGGGGUACAAUCUUUGCCACUAAUAGAUCAGAGGCAGAGAAGGCCGGCACAGUAGUGACAGGUACAUUACCAGUGUUAGGGCAUUUUGCCUUGACCUUGUUUGACUCGGGAUCUUCUCAUUCAUUUAUUUCAUCGCUUUUUGUGACGCAUGCAUGCUUAGAGGUGGAACCCUUAGACUAUGUUUUGUCAGUGUCUACACCGUCUGGAGAAAUUAUGUUGUCUAAGGAAAAGAUUAAAGCAUGUGAAAUUGAGAUAGCUGGUCGUGUGCUGGACGUAACCUUGUUGGUAUUAGAUAUGCGUGACUUUGAUGUAAUUUUAGGUAUGGAUUGGCUAGCUACUAAUCAUGCUAGUAUUGAUUGUUCUCGUAAGGAAGUUGUGUUCAGUCCCCCUACUGCAUCUAGCUUUAAAUUCAAGGGGUAGGAACAGUAGUACUGCCUAAAGUAAUCUCAGCUAUGAAAGCUAGUAAACUACUCAACCAGGGUACUUGGAGUAUUUUGGCAAGUGUGGUGGAUACUAGGGAAGGUGAGACUUCUUUAACUUCAGAACCUGUGGUAAGAGACUACCCAGAUGUAUUUCCAAAAGAUCUUCCAGGACUACCGCCACAUAGAGAGGUUGAUUUUGCCAUUGAGUUGGAGCCAAACACUACUCCUAUUUCUAGAGCCCCUUAUAGGAUGGCUCCUGCUGAGUUGAAAGAACUGAAGGUACAGUUACAGGAAUUGCUUGACAAAGGCUUUAUUCGACCUAGUGUGUCACCUUGGGGUGCACCAGUAUUGUUUGUGAAGAAGAAGGAUGGGUCGAUGCGUCUUUGCAUUGACUAUAGAGAGUUGAAUAAAGUAACAGUCAAGAACAGAUAUCCUUUACCCAGAAUCGAUGAUUUGUUCGAUCAGUUACAGGGAGCCACGGUGUUCUCUAAGAUUGACUUACGGUCAGGUUAUCACCAGUUGAGGAUUAGAGACCGUGAUAUUCCUAAGACUGCUUUUCGUUCGAGGUAUGGACAUUAUGAAUUCAUAGUAAUGUCUUUUGGUUUGACUAAUGCACCUGCUGUAUUUAUGGAUUUGAUGAACAGGGUGUUUAAGGAUUUCUUAGACACUUUUGUGAUAGUCUUCAUUGAUGAUAUUUUGGUUUAUUCCAAGACUGAAGCCGAACAUGAGGAACACUUACAUAAGGUGUUAGAGACUCUUCGAGUCAAUAAACUGUAUGCUAAGUUCUCUAAGUGCGAAUUUUGGUUGAAGCAGGUGGCUUUUCUUGGUCAUGUGGUUUCCAGUGAGGGAGUUUCAGUAGACCCUGCAAAGAUAGAAGCGGUUACCAGUUGGUCUCGACCCUCUACAGUUAGUGAGGUUCGUAGUUUUCUGGGUUUAGCAGGGUACUACCGGAGGUUUGUGGAGGAUUUUUCACGUUUGGCUACUCCCUUGACUCAGUUGACAAGGAAGGGAACUCCGUUUGUUUGGAGUCCAGCUUGUGAGGAUAGUUUUCAGAACCUUAAGCAAAGGUUAGUUACUGCACCGGUCCUUACUGUACCAGAUGGAUCUGGAAGUUUUGUGAUUUACAGUGAUGCUUCCAAGAAAGGACUGGGUUGUGUUUUGAUGCAGAAAGGUAAGGUGGUUGCUUAUGCCUCUCGUCAGUUGAAGAGUCACGAGCAGAACUACCCCACACAUGAUUUGGAGUUGGCAGCAGUGGUUUUUGCAUUGAAGAUAUGGAGACAUUACUUGUACGGUGAAAAGAUACAAAUCUUUACUGACCAUAAGAGCCUAAAGUACUUCUUCACUCAGAAGGAGUUGAAUAUGAGACAGCGAAGGUGGCUCGAGUUGGUAAAAGAUUAUGACUGUGAGAUAUUGUACCAUCCUGGUAAGGCGAAUGUGGUGGCUGAUGCUCUUAGUAGAAAAGUAUCACAUUCGGCAGCACUCAUUACUAGACAGGUACCAUUGCAUCGAGACUUGGAGAGAGCUGAGAUUGCAGUGUCUGUGGGGAGAGUCACCUCACAGCUAGCUCAAUUAACGGUGCAACCAACACUGAGACAGAAGAUUGUUGAUGCUCAGAGUAAUGAUCCUUAUUUGAUGGAGAGACGUCGCCUUGUUGAAACAGGGCAGAUUGAUGAGUUCUCCAUAUCCUCUGAUGGUGGGUUGAUGUUUGAGAGACGUUUAUGUGUGCCAGCGAACAGUACAGUUAAGAUUGACUUACUAGAUGAAGCCCAUAAUUCCUCAUUUUCCAUGCAUCAUGGUAGCACGAAAAUGUAUCAGGAUCUAAAACGAUUUUAUUGGUGGCGGAAUAUGAAAAGGGAAGUGGCGGAAUUUGUUAGUAAGUGUCUAGUAUGUCAGCAAGUUAAGGCACCUAGACAGAAACCAGCAGGUUUGUUACAACCCUUAAGUGUGCCAGAGUGGAAGUGGGAGAAUGUGUCGAUGGAUUUUAUUUCAGGGCUGCCUAAGACCCUGAAGGGUUUCACAGUGAUUUUGGUUGUCAUAGACAGGCUUACGAAAUCGGCACAUUUUGUACCAGGAAAAUCCACUUAUACUGCUAGUAAGUGGGCAGAGUUGUAUUUAACUGAGAUUGUGAGACUGCAUGGAGUGCCUGUAUCGAUUGUUUCUGAUAGGGAUGCACGGUUUACUUCCAAGUUUUGGAAGGGACUUCAGACUGCUAUGGGUACGAGAUUGGAUUUCAGUACAGCCUUUCAUCCACAGACUGAUGGUCAAACUGAACGUUUGAACCAAGUUUUAGAGGAUAUGCUACGAGCUUGUGUUAUAGAGUUUCCAGGUAGUUGGGACUCUCAUCUACAUUUGAUGGAGUUUGCUUAUAACAACAGUUUCCAGGCUACCAUCGGUAUGGCGCCAUUUGAAGCUUUGUAUGGUAAAUGUUGUAGAACCCCUAUUUGUUGGGGUGAGGUUGGUGAACAUAGGUUGAUGGGACCUGAAUUAGUUUGGUCUACUAAUGAGGCUAUUCAAACGAUUAGAACGCGUAUGCAAACAGCGCAGAGUAGACAAAAGAGUUAUGCAGAUGUACGGCGAAAAAGACCUUAAGUUCGAUGUGGGAGAAAAGGUAUUCUUGAAGGUAGCACCAAUGAAGGGUGUUAUGCGUUUUGAGAAGAAAGGGAAGUUAAGUCCUCGAUUUGUUGGACCAUUUGAGAUCUUAGAGAGGGUUGGUGUUGUGGCGUAUCGCUUGGCAUUACCACCAUCACUCUCUGCAGUUCAUAAUGUUUUCCAUGUUCCGAUGUUGAGGAAGUAUGUGGCCGAUACAUCUCAUGUAGUGGACUAUGAACCCUUGGAGAUUGAUGAGCAUUUGAGCUAUGUAGAACAACCUGUGGAGAUUCUGGCUAGAGAGGUAAAGAUGCUUCGUAAUAGAAGCAUUCCAUUAGUAAAGGUUUUGUGGCGGAAUCAUCGAAUUGAAGAGGCGACAUGGGAGCGAGAGGAAGAAAUGAGGACUCGUUAUCCAGAGUUAUUUCAGGAUUAAAACUUUCGAGGACGAAAGUUUCUUAAGGAGGGAAGAAUGUAAUGCCCAAAGAAAAGGUAAAUAUAUAUAUAUAUAUAUAUAUAUAUAUAUAUAUAUAUAUAUAUAUAUAUAUAUUAUUUUUAUUUUAAUAUUAAAAAAUUUCUUUAUUUUUUUUCUCUUCUUUUCUUCUUUUUCUUUUUCUUUUCUUUUCUCCCAUCUUCUUCCCCGUGCGACCGCGACCCCAUCCAUCUUCUCCACUCCGUUCUCCAUCUCCGUUCGCGAAGCAGCCUUGCAGCAGCCGCGGCGUAACUGUCUGAUCCAGAUCUGCGUCGUAGCCCAGAAACCGCCGCCCUUAUUUUCUUUCCGGUCGUUUUCUUUCUCCUUCGGAUCGAAACCGCCGCGCCCAUCCACCUGUAACUGCCAUUGCUCUUCCGCCUCUGCCCAGUUUUGUCGCGCAACACCUGUCUCCGUCGAAGCCAACCCAGCCGCCGUCUUUAUCUCCGUUCGCGAGGUAAAUCGCACGCCUUAGUCACGAACAGCCUCGCCGGUAUUAGCAUAUUAUUGACAGACAUAUGACUGUAGUAAAAUAAGUUGACUGUUAGGAUGUUGAAAGAAAGAACUUUGUGACUUGAAGUAACUGAAAGAUGGGUUGAAUGGAAUGAGGGGAUAAAUUGUUAGAUUGUAUUGGGAUGUUUACCUUGUAGGUGUCCCACGGGAUCACCAAUUUAUUGUGCACCUUCGGGAGCAUUUGACUGAUAUGUGUUUCUGCAGAACACUAGACUGAUAUGUACGUCCCUUGGGGCGUUAGACUGAUAUGUACGUCCCUCGGGGCAUUAGACUGAGAUGUGUAUCCUACGGGAUCACAAGACUGCGACUGUACAGGGUGUCCCAAUAGAACUUUAACAAUUUAUUUUCCCCUGACGAAACCAGUAGAGGGUCUCUUACUGAGUAUUUAAAUACCCACCCUUCUUAUAUAUGUUUAAUUUUCAGGCAAAGGUAAUAAAGGCGACAAACAGGCGAGGGGCAGGAAGGAAGCGUGAUGCCAUAGGAAACGUGUUUUUGCUUCCACUUAUGGGUUCUUGUGAGGUUUAAAAUGAAUUGAAAUUUAGUUUACAAACGUUUGUUGUAAAUAGUAUUAUUUUAUGUUUUCUUGAAUGUUUAAAAAUCAGGCCUGACUUGAAGAUGUUUUUUUUUAAAUUGCUUACGUUUUGUUUUAUAUUAAUCAAAGUCUUUUAUUUGUAAAAAAAUAAUAACGACCUCGACUUACUUAGAAAAGUUGGGUCGUUACAUAUUAAUAAUAAAAAUUGUCCUUAGUUUGCUUUUUAUGAUUUUAUUAAAAAAUUGUCCUUUUUUAUUCUGCAUUCUUUUUCAUAUAUUUUAUAUAAUUAUAGUAUAUAUUGAAUAAUAUAAUGUAUAUUUUAUUAGUGAAAUGUUCUUAUAUCAAUUUAUUUAUUUAUUUUAUUUAAAUAUUCAUAUCUUACAUAGUAAAUAAUACAUUAUGUUUGAAAUAAUAUUAAUUAUACAUGAAAGUUGUUUAUGUUUACAAGAACAUGAAUGAGAAAUAAUUAUGAUGAGUAUAUGUAAUAUAUGUCAUUAAAAUAUUUGUUAUUCUCUAGUAUAUGUAAUAGGGGUGUUCAAAAUGAAGUUGAAAACUGAAUCGAAUCACUAAUCGAACCGAAAUCGAAUGCAUAUGGUUCGGUUCGAUUCGAUUUCUAUUUCAAAAAAACCACAUAAAAUUCGGUUCGGUUCAGUUUAAGAUGUUAAGAACCGAUUCUCAAACCGAACUGAAUUGCUUUAUUUUAAAAACUAAAUAUAUAUAUAUAUAUAUAUAUAUAUAUAUGUGUGUGUUAAUAAUAAGACUUUUUUAGACUUCAAAGCGGGUAUAGAGGCAAAAAUCAAUGAGAGGAACGAAAAGGAGAAGAAUGACAUAAUCAAAACGUAAAUGACAAGUUGUCUUGACGAAGUUUGCAUGACUGUAGGACUUUUAUUCAUCUUAGGGGGAUUUUAAAACUUCUAUGUGUUGUUGGACUUUCAAAUUUCAAUGUUUGAAACAUCUAUGUCUGUAAUUUUGAAAUUUCUAUGUUUAUAACUUUGUAUAAGCCGUUCGGUUUUGAUUUGAUUUUAUUUAUGUAUAUGUGGUUCGGUUUUCAUUCGGUUUGGCAUAGAUGAGCGGUUCGGUUCGGUUUCAAUGAAGAUUUUUUUUAUCAUUUUGCGGUUCGAUGCGGUUUUAGCUUCAAACCGAACCGCGAACACCACUAAUAUGUAAUGUUGAGAUCAACUGAAUAUGUUUGUAAUGUAGGGACUUUGAUGAAAGAAUUGAAGAUUCAGGAAAUUGUAUGAAAAAAAAUGGUUGAAUGUUAAAUUGACUUAUGAAUAGUGUAUAUGAAACAAUACAUUAUAUAUUUUUAUGAAUGAAAUGUUAUGCAAUCAAUUUGUUAAACUGGUUUAUUUAUUUUAUUUCAAAUAUUUAUUUUAUAUGUAAUAAUAAUAAUAAGUUAUGUUUGAAACAGCAGUAUAAGGAUAUAUCAUAAUAUAUAUUGUUCAUUUAAGGUUAGUAAGAAUUUUAUAUUUUGUAUUUGAAAUAUACUAUGAUAUAUUGAGUACAUCAAAGAUGACAUCAUUUAUGUACUAUUGAAAAUAUGAAGUAGUAUAUAUAUGUAACAAAUCACAUAAGAUAUAUGUAUCAUGUACUAGUAUAUACGUCAUUAUUUAUAUAUACACACCUAAUGAAAAAAAGUAGAGUGUGUGGGACCCACGUAUAUAAAUAAUGAGAAAAUAAAAAAUGUUGGCCCAAUGUAAUAUAUAUAUAAAGUAAAAAAUAAACUAUGUAGGGUCCACUGCAUGAAAAUUGUGUAGGGGUACAAAACUUCACCUCAACUCACCUAUUUUUGUCAAUAGUUUUGCAUUCACCUACUUUUGACAUAUGUUUCAAAAUUUACAUUAUUUUUUAAAAAAGUUCUAUACAUAAUAAAUAAUAACUCGUGAUUGAAACAAGAGUGGUUAUGUAUGAAUGAUAGUAUAUUAAAUAUAAUAAAUUGAAAAAAAUUGAUUGGUACCGUAGAUGAAAAUUUAUGAAAAAAUAUAGAAAUAAAAUAACUAAAUUAAAAACUGAAAUAUGAAUAUUUCAAAUAAAAGUAUAAAUCAACAUACUAAAAGUUUAAUAAUAAGAAAGAAAAAUUAGUUCAAUAAGGAAAGCUUGCAUCUCUUUCGUUUAUGACAACCACAUUUAAAACUUCAUUUUAGAAUGAAUUCUAAUAUUUUUUUGUUGACCAACUGAACGUUUGACAUUCAAUGGGAUGAUGUCAACUUCAACUACUGUAUUAUUGAAUAUAUGCAUUAGUAUGUAUGUAACAAAUCAAAUAAAAUACUAAUCGAAUAUAGAAAAAUAUAAAGAAAAUGAUACAAAACGUGAAGGAAAAAAACUGAACUAUAUAUGUGUCACAAAAUACGUGUUAUUAUAUUUAUAUAAAUGUAUAUAUUGAUAACAUCAACCUGUCUAUGUAGUGAUAUAUAUUGAAAUUCAACUAUAAAAUUAUGUAGAACUAUAUGUCACUAAAUAUUUAUGUUGUAAAUAAGGUGUAUUUAUAUAUUAAAUCACAUCAUAAACAUAUUAUAAUUUACGAGUAUAUUAUAGUAUAUAUUGUUCAUUUAAAAAAUAUAUGACAAAUAGAAGGUAUAUAAUUAUACGAAGUGAGAAUAUGUAUGUAUGAUAUUCUCACUACAUAUUAUAUAUACACUAAGAAUGUGUAUUUUACUGUUUUAGUAGUAUUUACUAUAUAAAUAUAUAUUUUAAAUAUUAAUUAUUAAUGAAUAUAUAGUUUACUACAUGUUGUUACAACAUACUUAAGAUAUAAAUGUUUAUAUGACUAACAACAUAAUAUUACUAUAAGAUAAACAAAAAAAUAAAGAACAGAUUGAAUUGAAAAAUAUUUUCGAUUAUUGUAUGUCACUAUAUAUGUCUGAUUGUAUAUAUCUCUAAGCAAUAUUGUAAUGCCCCAAGAAGAGAGGAAGAAAAAAGAGGAAAAGAAGGAAAGGUAUAUAUAUUAUUUUUUUUCUUUUUUUUCUUUUCUUUUUCUUUUUUUCUUUUCUCUUCUCUUCUCCUCCCGUGCGCCCUUCCCCUUCUCCCCGUUCGCAGCGCAGCAACCGCCGCCGGUCAUCUCCAUCUUUUCUUCUCCUCUCCGCUCCUUCCAGACCCAGCCUCACCGUCGCGUCUCCCCUACUGAAGCCGAACGCCCGAUCUGCCGUCUCCAUUUCCGUUCGCAAAGCAGGACCGCGCCGUUGCUCUUCCGCCGCUGCCCGGUCCAGAUCUGCGUCGCAGCCCAGCAACCGCCGCCGCCGCCCCUAUUUUUCUUUCCGGUCGUUUUCUUCUCUUCUUCGGAUCCACAACUGCCGUUGUAACCGUCGGCCGCCGCGUGACCUCUGCCCAGUUCCGCCGCGCAACACCUGUCUCCGUCGAAGCCAAGCCAGCCGCCAUCCAUUCCUUUCCUUUCUCCUCUGUUUUCAGCACUGUCGCGCGACCGCUAACCGACCCACAUUUAGGAUUUUUGCUGCGAGUUCGACAUUCGUGCGUUGAGGUGUUGGGAGUAUCGUUAGACUCCCUUACAUUCACAAUCAGUUUGUGAAUUGUUGAGGGUUCAGUUCGCCAAUAUUUCGGUGAGUUGGAACUUACGUUGAGGAAAGUAAGUGAGAUAUGUAUCGUGAAAGUAAUUGAAGUUUUGUGUUGUUGUGCUUAGGAUUGUUUCGAGGACGUUAGUUGAUUAAGAAGCUUCCCCAACUUUGAGGUAAGGGACUUUCUACUGGACUCACCUAAAGUUUUUGAGUUGUGUUGGACUGUAUGGAUGAUGAUUAAGAUGUACAUGUUUGGUUGCAGACUAAAUGUUUAGUGUAUGUUGUAUUUGACUGGAAACAUAUAUAUAUACAUUGAUGUGUGAAUUGAUGUGGAUUGCCGAAAGUAUACAUGUGAAUGACUGAAAUUAUGCUUAUGUGUACAUGAUGAUAUUAAUAGAUUGUGUUGUAUAAAGAUUUGGAUGUAAACUAGUGAAUUUAUUUCGGUUGGAUGUGGAUUAUACUGAACUGUGGUUUGUGCUGGUGAACUGAGGGGUGUAUUGACUGUAUAGUUUGAUUGACUGACAUAUUAGUAUAUUAUUGACAGACAUAUGACUAAAGUGAGAUAAGUUGACUGUUAGGACGUUGAGAGAAAGAACUUUAUGUUUUGAAGUAACUGAAAGAUGGAUUGAAUGGAAUGAGGGGAUAAAUUGUUAGAUUGUAUUGGGAUGUUUACCUUGUAGGUGUCCCACGGGAUCACCAAUUUAUUUUGCACCUUCAGGAGCAUUUGACUGAUAUGUGUUUCUGCAGAACACUAGACUGAUAUGUACGUCCCUCGGGGCGUUAGACUGAUAUGCACGUCCCUCGGGGCGUUAGACUGAUAUGUACGUCCUUCGGGGCGUUAGACUGAAAUGUGUAUCCUACGGGAUCACAAGACUGCGACUGUACAGGGUGUCCCAAUAGAACUUUAACAAUUUAUUUUCCCCUGACGAGACCAGUAGAGGGUCUCUUACUGAGUAUUGUUAUACUCACCCUUCUUAUGUUUAAUUUUCAGGCAAAGGAAAUAAAGGUGGCAAACCGGCGAGGGGCAGGAAGGAAGCGUGAUUGCCAUAGGAAAUGUGUCAUUUUGCUUCCGCUUAUGGUUUCUUUUGAGGUUUAAGAUGUACUAAAACUUAGUUUUACAAACUUUUAUUUGUAAAUAGUGUUAUUUUUAAGUUUUCUUGAAUAUUUGAAAAUCAGGCCUGACAUAAAUUGUUUUUAAAUUGACUUACGUUUCAUUUUGUAUCAACCAAAGUCUUUUGUUAAAAAUUAACGACCUCGACUUACCCAGAAAAGUUGGGUCGUUACAAAUAUUACAUAAUGAGGUAGUAUAUAUGUAACAAAUCACAUAAUAUAUAUGUAUUAUGGAGAAGUAUAAAUGUAAUUGUUGAGCAAGAAACUUCAACCAAUGAAAUUACACCACGUCGUCGCACCCAAGUUGUGAUGAUUAUAAUUUGAUUGGAUUUGGGUAGUCAAGUUUUCCAACCCAAUUCAAGCCCCUGAUAAAAAAUCAGGCCAAACAUAGGGGCCUAAGCCCACUAAGAAAAUGGGCCCAAGCCCAAGUCCAAGCUCAACAACUCAACAAGCAAAUGGGUCCAAGCCCACAUAAAGUCAACAAAUUUUCUCUAUAAGUAGAGACCUUUGUCAUUCAUUCGAGAGAUCUUUUGUUUAAGGAAGAAAUGAAGCUCUGAAGUACUGAAGCUUUGAAGAAUUGAAGAUUCAAACUUCUAUAGAGCUCUCAAGACGUGCAAGUUAUUAUCAACUUUGAGAUCAUCGUCUUCUGAAAUAUUGAAGACUUGGAAGAUCAAAAUUUCCUUGAAUUCCAGAAGACUGAAGCUGAAAUAGACCGAACCAUUUAAAUUCGGUUUGGACUAUUUGAGACAGCAACAAACUGUGUUUUUUGUUUUGUACAUAAAUGGUGUGGUUUGAUUCGGUUUUAACAAGCGGUUCAAUUUAUACCGUUUAGACAUGAUCUUAUAUAAUGUGAAAUUAUUUUUUUUUCUUUGAAUUUUUAUCUAAGUGUACUCAAAUUGUAUACCAUGUUACAAAAUUGCAAUAAAUUUUUUAAAAUUUUCAAAAAUAUCAUAAAUUGACUAAUAUUUUAUACAAAUAUAGAGUAAAAAUGACCAAUUUACUCUUUUUAUUAUUAAUAAUAUAUUAAAAAUAAAAAGAAAAGUGAACCACGUUUAAGAUUUUCAUUUAUUAAAUAUUCUAUGAAAAUAUGGAUUAAAUUUUAUUAAAGUAAUAUUAAUAAUAAAAAUUGUCCUUAGUUUGCUUUUUAUGAUUUUAUUAAAAAAUUGUCCUUUUUUUAUUUUGCAUUCUUUUUCAUAUAUUUUAUAUAAUUAUAGUAUAUAUUGAAUAAUAUAAUGUAUAUUUUAUUAGUGAAAUGUUCUUAUAUCAAUUUAUUUAUUUAUUUUAUUUAAAUAUUCAUAUCUUACGUAGUAAAUAAUACAUUAUGUUUGAAAUAAUAUUAAUUAUAUAUGAAAGUUGUUUAUGUUUACAAGAACAUGAAUGAGAAAUAAUUAUGAUGAGUAUAUGUAAUAUAUGUCAUUAAAAUAUUUGUUAUUCUCUAGUAUAUGUAAUAGGGGUGUUCAAAAUGAAGUUGAAAACUGAAUCGAAUCACUAAUCGAACCGAAAUCGAAUGCAUAUGGUUCGGUUCGAUUCGAUUUCUAUUUCAAAAAAACCACAUAAAAUUCGGUUCGGUUCAGUUUAAGAUGUUAAGAACCGAUUCUCAAACCGAACUGAAUUGCUUUAUUUUAAAAACUAAAUAUAUAUAUAUAUAUAUAUAUAUAUAUAUAUAUAUGUGUGUGUGUGUUAAUAAUAAGACUUUUUUAGACUUCAAAGCGGGUAUAGAGGCAAAAAUCAAUGAGAGGAACGAAAAGGAGAAGAAUGACAUAAUCAAAACGUAAAUGACAAGUUGUCUUGACGAAGUUUGCAUGACUGUAGGACUUUUAUUCAUCUUAGGUGGAUUUUAAAACUUCUAUGUGUUGUUGGACUUUCAAAUUUCAAUGUUUGAAACAUCUAUGUCUGUAACUUUGUAUAAGCCGUUCGGUUUUGAUUUUAUUUUAUUUAUGUAUAUGUGGUUCGAUUUUCUUUGGCAUAGAUGAGCGGUUCGGUUCGGUUUCAAUGAAGAUUUUUUUUAUCAUUUUGCGGUUCGAUGCGGUUUUAGCUUCAAACCGAACCGCGAACACCACUAAUAUGUAAUGUUGAGACCAACUGAAUAUGUUUGUAAUGUAGGGACUUUGAUGAAAGAAUUGAAGAUUCAGGAAAUUGUAUGAAAAAAAAUGGUUGAAUGUUAAAUUGACUUAUGAAUAGUGUAUAUGAAACAAUACAUUAUAUAUUUUAUGAAUGAAAUGUUAUGCAAUCAAUUUGUUAAACUGGUUUAUUUAUUUUAUUUGAAAUAUUUAUUUUAUAUGUAAUAAAUAAUAAGUUAUGUUUGAAACUGCAGUAUAAGGAUAUAUCAUAAUACAUAUUGUUCAUUUAAGGUUAGUAAGAAUUUUAUAUUUUGUAUUUGAAAUAUAAUAUGAUAUAUUGAGUACAUCAAAGAUGACAUCAUUUAUGUACUAUUGAAAAUAUGAAGUAGUAUAUAUAUGUAACAAAUCACAUAAGAUAUAUGUAUCAUGUACUAGUAUAUACGUCAUUAUUUAUAUAUACACACCUAAUGAAAAAAAGUAGAGUGUGUGGGACCCACGUAUAUAAAUAAUGAGAAAAUAAAAAAUGUUGGCCCAAUGUAAUAUAUAUAUAAAGUAAAAAAUAAACUAUGUAGGGUCCACUGCAUGAAAAUUGUGUAGGGGUACAAAACUGCACCUCAACUCAUCUAUUUUUGUCAAUAGUUUUGCAUUCACCUACUUUUGACAUAUGUUUCAAACUUUACAUUAUUUUUUAAAAAAAGUUCUAUACAUAAUAAAUAAUAACUCGUGAUUGAAACAAGAGUGGUUAUGUAUGAAGGAUAGUAUAUUAAAUAUAAUAAAUUGAAAAACUUUGAUUGGUACCGUAGAUGAAAAUUUAUGAAAAAAUAUAGAAAUAAAAUAACUAAAUUAAAAACUGAAAUAUGAAUAUUUCAAAUAAAAGUAUAAAUCAACAUACUAAAAGUUUAAUAAUAAGAAAGAAAAAUUAGUUCAAUAAGGAAAGCUUGCAUCUCUUUCGUUUAUGACAACCACAUUUAAAACUUCAUUUUAGAAUGAAUUCUAAUAUUUUUUUGUUGACCAACUGAACGUUUGACAUUCAAUGGGAUGAUGUCAACUUCAACUACUGUAUUAUUGAAUAUAUGCAUUAGUAUGUAUGUAACAAAUCAAAUAAAAUACUAAUCGAAUAUAGAAAAAUAUAAAGAAAAUGAUACAAAACGUGAAGAAAAAAAACUGAACUAUAUAUGUGUCACAAAAUACGUGUUAUUAUAUUUAUAUAAAUGUAUAUAUUGAUAACAUCACCUGUCUAUGUAGUGAUAUAUAUUGAAAUUCAACUAUAAAUUAUGUAGAACUAUAUGUCACUAAAUAUUUAUGUUGUAAAUAAGGUGUAUCUAUAUAUUAAAUCACAUCAUAAACAUAUUAUAAUUUACGAGUAUAUUAUAGUAUAUAUUGUUCAUUUAAAAAAUAUAUGACAAAUAGAAGGUAUAUAAUUAUACGAAGUGAGAAUAUGUAUGUAUGAUAUUCUCACUGCAUAUUAUAUAUACACUAAGAAUGUGUAUUUUACUGUUUUAGUAGUAUUUACUAUAUAAAUAUAUAUUUUAAAUAUUAAUUAUUAAUGAAUAUAUAGUUUACUACAUGUUGUUACAACAUACUUAAGAUAUAAAUGUUUAUAUGACUAACAACAUAAUAUUACUAUAAGAUAAACAAAAAAAUAAAGAACAGAUUGAAUUGAAAAAUAUUUUCGAUUAUUGUAUGUCACUAUAUAUGUCUGAUUGUAUAUAUCUCUAAGCAAUAUUAGAUAAUGAGGUAGUGUAACGACCCAACUUUUCUAAGUAAGUCGAGAUCGUAAAUUUUUAACAAAUAAAGACUUUGAUUAAUAUAAAACAAAACGUAAACAAUUAAAAAAAAACAUUUUCAAGUCAGGCCUGAUUUUUAAACAUUCAAGAAAACAUAAAAUAAUACUAUUUACAACAAACGUUUGUAAACUAAAUUUCAAUUCAUUUUAAACCUCACAAGAACCCAUAAGCGGAAGCAAAAACACG
Molecule: long non-coding RNA, 17506 nt
Filed under: Cucumis sativus (cucumber)
Lineage: Eukaryota; Viridiplantae; Streptophyta; Magnoliopsida; Cucurbitales; Cucurbitaceae
Description: long non-coding RNA (CSAT_LNC000234)
Source: RNAcentral